Non-coding RNA from Ceratotherium simum simum (southern white rhinoceros), 98 nucleotides. The record is from RefSeq and is a predicted model, not a curated record. Lineage: Eukaryota; Metazoa; Chordata; Mammalia; Perissodactyla; Rhinocerotidae.
AAAGUAUUAUGAAGGAAGACUAUGAACAAUUCCAUGCCAACAAAUUAGAUUACCCAGAUGAAAUGGACAAAUCCUAGAAAAACACAAACUACCAAAAC